GCAGGUGUAGUUUAAUGGUAGAACCUCAGCCUUCCAAGCUGAUUGUGAGGGUUCGAUUCCCUUCACCUGCUCCA
This 74-nucleotide transfer RNA is filed under the name Candidatus Xianfuyuplasma coldseepsis. Its description in RNAcentral is "Xianfuyuplasma coldseepsis tRNA-Gly". It matches the Rfam family "tRNA". Rfam says of the family: Transfer RNA (tRNA) molecules are approximately 80 nucleotides in length. Lineage: Bacteria; Bacillati; Mycoplasmatota; Mollicutes; Candidatus Izemoplasmatales; Candidatus Izemoplasmataceae. RNAcentral also lists the same sequence under 2 other names. The record is from RNAcentral.